CAUAGUGCUGAAAAAAACGAUCAUAGAAAUAGUUAGCUAACAAAUAUGUUGUUAAUUAACGUUAGUUGGAGAGUGGCGACGUGCGUCGAGCAGUGUAGCGUUAGUGAAGUGUUAGCCAGGCAGAGCGCACGACAAGCACACCAGAUCAAUAUAAACAACUAACGUUAAAAGAGUGCAUUAUAAGUGAAGGAUUUAACGUGGAGCGUUUGCUUUGCUGCAUCAGGUACGUUCACAGUGCUCCUGUGAUGUGUUUUGCGGUUGACCGAGUGAAAUGUUGUCUGUUCUCAUCGCAUUACUUUCUACGGUAUGAAUUUUCUUCAAGGAUGUUGUCAAGAAUUUGAUUUGAUGUCGACAGAGAUGAAGGUUUGACCGAUUUCACGUCAAGCAUUUUAAUGUGAGGAUAUUUUAGAUGUCUUUUUUAGGCAAUAUAAUUUGCAAUCUAUGUUCUGUCUGUCAAUCUAUCUUAUGCCUUGGUUGUUGUCAGCUGGCCUCUAAAUUUCUCAUGAUAUAACUUAGUAAGCUUACAACAUCAUCUGACUGUUUGAUAGAUAUUAGAAAUGAAUGUAUUUUGUUGAGAUCAAUACUUUGUUCUUAAAUUUUUUGUUCUUUGAUUUAAUCAGCAGUGAAGAUGAACAUCUAAGGGGACUCCCACAAUGGCUUGAGUACUAAUGCUGCUCGGAUAUGCUGUGUGUAUGGAAAGACUGAGGAGUUGAAAGCUGAUUCUACCCUGGAAAGGAGUAAUUUUCUCUUUUAGAGGGGAUGGAAGACCAAGCAGAUACUAUAUUAAAAAGUGCUACACAAUGAUGGUUGUUCUUGCAUAUCUUCUGCCACCGUUGCAUGGAAGUCGAUGCAAUGUUAAAUCUGAAAUUUCAUUUCUUUCAAUUUAAUUUUGUACCGCGUGGAGCCACUAUUGCAUCCCUCUGCAGCAGUUUUGAGACCGCAUCAAAGACCAGACCACAGCCGAUCUACAUUGGAAGUUUGAAGAGCACAGCAUGACAGUACAUCAUUACGAGGAUUGACAGAGUAACCAUUCCUGUGGAUGAGGGCCUGAUGUGCUGUGGACAAUAUAUUCUAGGUGUGAAACUUGUCCUGUCCACCACAGAUUAGUUUGGUCUUUUCUUUCUAAGACUGGAGCAUCUAAUAUUGAAACACCACAUUCUCUUCUUUUUAAAACUGACAUCGUUUCGCUAGAAAACAACCUCUUCUUCAGCUGUGAUUGCGUACAGCCCGUUUAAACACUUCAAAGACUUUUAAAACUGCAUUGAUUUGGACUUAAAAACGAUGGUAACCAAUGAACUCCAUUGUUAGAAGAAAAAUCCAGAAAUGUUUUCCUCAAAAAACAAAAUUUCUCUCCCACUGAGGAAAGAAAGACAUGGAUAUCUUGGAUGGCAUUGGGUGAGUAAAUUAUUAGGAAAUUUUCUUUUUGGGGUGAACUAAUCCUUUAAGCAUACAAUGAACACUCACAGUAGCUUUUAGUCAAUAUAAAGCGUUAUGUUAUCUUAUGUUAUGUUCUUACACUGCAGUAAGUAAUGCAUUCAUAAAGUGAUUCUCUAUUAAAGUUGUUUAAAUGUGAAAAACUUUGUUUAUUAAAGUUUAUUGCAAACGAA
Megalobrama amblycephala (Wuchang bream) is the source of this 1607-nucleotide long non-coding RNA. RefSeq lists it as uncharacterized. Lineage: Eukaryota; Metazoa; Chordata; Actinopteri; Cypriniformes; Xenocyprididae. The transcript is spliced from 4 exons. The record is from RefSeq and is a predicted model, not a curated record.